Molecule: ribosomal RNA, 215 nt
Filed under: uncultured bacterium
Lineage: Bacteria
Description: partial 16S ribosomal RNA
Rfam family: Bacterial small subunit ribosomal RNA
Source: RNAcentral
UACGUAGGGUGCGAGCGUUAAUCGGAAUUACUGGGCGUAAAGCGUGCGCAGGCGGUUUGAUAAGUCAGAUGUGAAAUCCCCGGGCUCAACCUGGGAACUGCGUUUGAAACUAUCAAGCUAGAGUAUGGGAGAGGGAGGUAGAAUUCACGUGUAGCAGUGAAAUGCGUAGAGAUGUGGAGGAAUACCAAUGGCGAAGGCAGCCUCCUGGCCGUAAA